UACACAUCAUUUGGCACACAGAAAUAUGUGGGCCCUAUUAAAGUGACAGUGCAAGAACUGGAUGGGUCAUUUAACCACACAUAACAGAUAGAGGAGAACAGUCUCAAACAUGACAUUCCCUGCCACUCCAAAAGCAGAAGGAACAACAAGAAGAAAAUCCCUCUGAUGAAUGGAGAGGAAGUUGACAUGGACUUGUCAGUCAUGGAGUAUGCUGUUUUUGUGUUUUAUGAUUUUAUACUGUACAUACAGAUCAAUGAAUGUUCCAACUUUUAAGUGCACAACACUUAGGAAUUACAGGCAUAUUUGAGUAACAGCACUCUUAACUUCUUGCUACAUGUAAACCUGCACAUACACUUAGUUUUUAACCCUCUGGAGUCGAUCCGUGUUAAGGCAUUUUCUCCUGAUAACUCCGAAAAUAACUUAAAUUACACUUUCAGUUUUGA
This is a long non-coding RNA of Cyprinus carpio (common carp), 443 nucleotides long. RefSeq lists it as uncharacterized. NCBI's taxonomy places the organism in Eukaryota, Metazoa, Chordata, Actinopteri, Cypriniformes, Cyprinidae. The record is from RefSeq and is a predicted model, not a curated record. The transcript is spliced from 3 exons.